UCACAGCAACAUCGAGACUAGUAUUUGAUCAAAAAACCAGGCACCUUAGCCUAGACAAAUUGAUACAUAAAAUUAACCAUCACAAAGAUGCUAUAUGAUUUUUUGCACAUGACUCAAGAGUUCUAAAACCUGGGAGUUCUCAUUGUGGCUCAGCGGGUUAGGAACCUGACUAGUAUACAUGAGGAUGGGGGUUUGCUCCCUGGCCUCUCUCAUUGUUGUUGCUGCAGUCUACAGUGUUGGUCACAAAAUGCAGCUAGGAUCUGGUGUUGCUGUGGCUGUGGUGUAGGCUGGCAACUACUGCUCUGAUUCAACUCUUAGCCUGGGAACUCCAUAUGCUGCAGAUAUGACCCUAAAAGAUUAAAAAAAAAAAAAAAAGAGUUCUAAAAACUGAAUGACAUUAAUAUAGCAAAACUUGUAUUCCUAAAGUGAGAGCUGAAUUGAUAUUUAACUCUGACUUUUUCUAACAAUAACUAAUAUUCAACCAUGCCUACAUGAGGUAAUUUGUAAAAAAAUUUCCAUCUAUCUCCCUAAAAAUUCAUUUUCUUAAUAAUUACAUGUCAAAAUGUAUAAUAUAUAUUUGUACUGUUUAAUUCAAUUGUGUACUCCUAACAGUAAUAAAAAAACUCAUUUCAAAGAAUCUUCAAUAGUUAGACUCUUAUGGACACAAAUAUUUAACAAAUGAUCUCCAAAUGAGUACACAUAAUUUUACUACAGAGUAAUCUGAUGAUUAAGAAAAGGUUUUUAAGCAUAAAAUUAUAUUAAGUUAGAGUAAAAUUCUUUUCCCUAUUAACAGCUAAUUUUUAUUUUUAUUUUUGUUUUUUAAAUUUAUUUUUUAUUGAUAUUUCCCCCAACAAAUUUUUUUUUCCACUAUACAGCAUGGGGACCCAUUACACAUACAUGAUAAAUAAUUCUUUUUUUUCACAUUAUCAUGCUCCAUCAUAAGUGACUAGAUAUAGUUCCCAGUGUUCUACAGCAGGAUCUCAUUGCUUAUCCAUUCCGAAGGCAAUAGUCUGCAUCUAUUAACCCCAAGUUCCCAAUCCAUCCCACUCCCUCCCCCUCCCCUUUGGCAACCACGAGUCUAUUCUCUUAGCAGAGAUAGUAAAGAAAAAAAUAUUAGAAGACAAGUCUCAUAUGUCUUGAGAACACAAAAGACAUUUCCAUCUAAAAAUAAAUUUGUACUAAACAAAGGAAACUUUUCAAGUUCUCAGCUCUACACAAUAUAUUGCUUAAAUGGGACUGAACCUUAGAUGUCAUCUGAUUCCAUUCCAUUGUUACAACUGAGGAAAUUAGUCCCCAAAAAGGUAAUAAGAGUAUCUCCACCUCCUCCAAUGUCUGAUUACAUCAUGAUGUAGAGAUGUCUUGAGAAGGGAAUUAGGCACAUCAUCUUGUUCUGAGAAAAAUAUGAGGCAAAUAUACAGCCUC
RNAcentral lists this long non-coding RNA (1422 nucleotides) under Sus scrofa (pig). Its description in RNAcentral is "lncRNA (ENSSSCG00005027702.1)". Lineage: Eukaryota; Metazoa; Chordata; Mammalia; Artiodactyla; Suidae. The record is from RNAcentral.